GACGAACGCUGGCGGCGUGCCUAAUACAUGCAAGUCGAGCGAAGUUUUUCUGGUGCUUGCACCGGAAAAACUUAGCGGCGAACGGGUGAGUAACACGUAAAGAACCUGCCUCAUAGACUGGGACAACUAUUGGAAACGAUAGCUAAUACCGGAUAACAGCAUUAACUGCAUGGUUGAUGUUUAAAAGUUGGUUUUGCUAACACUAUGAGAUGGCUUUGCGGUGCAUUAGCUAGUUGGUGGGGUAAAGGCCUACCAAGGCGACGAUGCAUAGCCGACCUGAGAGGGUGAUCGGCCACACUGGGACUGAGACACGGCCCAGACUCCUACGGGAGGCAGCAGUAGGGAAUCUUCCGCAAUGGGCGAAAGCCUGACGGAGCAACGCCGCGUGAGUGAAGAAGGAUUUCGGUUCGUAAAGCUCGGUUGUUAGGGAAGAAUGAGUGUGUAGUAACAAUACACAGUAGAGACGGUACCUAACCAGAAAGCCACGGCUAACUACGUG
This 499-nucleotide ribosomal RNA is filed under the name uncultured bacterium. RNAcentral's name for it is "partial 16S ribosomal RNA". It matches the Rfam family "Bacterial small subunit ribosomal RNA", at positions 28 to 507 of the family's 1533-position model. The record is from RNAcentral.